UAUGAACGCUGGCGGCGUGCCUAAUACAUGCGAGUCGAGCGAACAGACGAGGAGCUUGCUCCUCUGACGUUAGCGGCGGACGGGUGAGUAACACGUGGAUAACCUACCUAUAAGACUGGGAUAACUUCGGGAAACCGGAGCUAAUACCGGAUAAUAUAUUGAACCGCAUGGUUCAAUAGUGAAAGACGGUUUUGCUGUCACUUAUAGAUGGAUCCGCGCCGCAUUAGCUAGUUGGUAAGGUAACGGCUUACCAAGGCAACGAUGCGUAGCCGACCUGAGAGGGUGAUCAGCCACACUGGAACUGAGACACGGUCCAGACUCCUACGGGAGGCAGCAGUAGGGAAUCUUCCGCAAUGGGCGAAAGCCUAACGGAGCAACGCCGCGUGAGUGAUGAAGGUCUUCGGAUCGUAAAACUCUGUUAUUAGGGAAGAACAAAUGUGUAAGUAACUAUGAACGUCUUGACGGUACCUAAUCAGAAAGCAACGGCUAACUACGUG
This 497-nucleotide ribosomal RNA is filed under the name uncultured bacterium. Its description in RNAcentral is "partial 16S ribosomal RNA". It matches the Rfam family "Bacterial small subunit ribosomal RNA", at positions 29 to 507 of the family's 1533-position model. The record is from RNAcentral.